UUUAAAGAGAGUUUGAUCCUGGCUCAGGACGAACGCUGGCGGCGUGCCUAAUACAUGCAAGUCGAACGAACGGAGGAAGAGCUUGCUCUUCCAAAGUUAGUGGCGGACGGGUGAGUAACACGUGGGCAACCUGCCUGUAAGUUGGGGAUAACUCCGGGAAACCGGGGCUAAUACCGAAUGAUAAAGUGUGGCGCAUGCCACGCUUUUGAAAGAUGGUUUCGGCUAUCGCUUACAGAUGGGCCCGCGGUGCAUUAGCUAGUUGGUAGGGUAAUGGCCUACCAAGGCAACGAUGCAUAGCCGACCUGAGAGGGUGAUCGGCCACACUGGGACUGAGACACGGCCCAGACUCCUACGGGAGGCAGCAGUAGGGAAUCUUCCGCAAUGGACGAAAGUCUGACGGAGCAACGCCGCGUGUAUGAAGAAGGUUUUCGGAUCGUAAAGUACUGUUG
This 449-nucleotide ribosomal RNA is filed under the name Listeria monocytogenes. Its description in RNAcentral is "bacterial SSU rRNA". It matches the Rfam family "Bacterial small subunit ribosomal RNA", at positions 1 to 438 of the family's 1533-position model. The record is from RNAcentral. Lineage: Bacteria; Bacillati; Bacillota; Bacilli; Caryophanales; Listeriaceae.